GGUGGUCUGUCUACUUAUAAAUCUUCUGCAGUAUCCCUUUUUUCUAUACAUAUAAGAAACAAAUAUCUCAGUGCUGAUUGUCAAGGGAAGAGGUAAGUCUCUUUUGCUUCGAUUUUCGGGUGUAGCGAAGGUUCAUUUCUGACAACAUAUCUUGGACUACCAUUAUGUAUAGGAAAGCCAACCAAACAUCUAUAGGAUAAAUUUAUCGAAAGAUUUCAAAGUAAGCUAUCAGUUUGCGAAAGUAGGCACUUAUCUUUGGGAGCAAGAUUAACGCUGAUUAAUGCGGCAAUGUCAAAUUUACCGGUACACUAUAUGUCGUUAUUCAAGUGCCCAAAGGGGGUAGUCGAUAAGCUUGAAAAGAUUAGGAGGGAUGGGGUGGAAGAUAAGCAUAAGUUUCAUCUUAUGAAGUGGGAAGAAGCAUGCAAAUCUUGGGAUCAAGGAGGAGCUGGGUUGACGGUUUUGGGAGAGAUGAAUUUGGCGCUAUUGGGUAAAAAUGGGUAUGAAGAUUUGGGGUCGAAGAGGGUAGCUCAUGGAGGGAGGUUAUGAGUAGGAAAUAUGGGGUUCAAGAGGGAUCUUGGUGGAUAAAGACAUUAUCAUUGUAUAGAGCAUCGUCCCUUUGGAAAGUGGUGGCCUCUUUAAAGGACAAGGUUUGGGAAGGAGUGGGGUUUACUUUGGGAAAUGGUGAGGGGAUAAGGUUUUGGGAAGAUGUUUGGCUUGGGGAAAAAGUUGAGGGAGAGUAUUCCCCUUCUAGCAAGGUUAUCAUUGGAGGGAAACUUGCCUGCGGCAAGAUGUUAUUCCCUCCUUGGUGAGGAAGUUAUUUGAGCCCCUGCUUAUAGGAGGAACUUGUAUGAAGAAGAGUUGAAGGAGUAUUUAAGAUUAUUGGAAGUGUUGAGUAAGGUUUGCCUGGUGAUUUCUCAAAGGGACUCGAUGAGAUGGUUAGAAGAAAAGUCUAGGUUUUCAGUAAAAAAGGUGAGGGAGAGUUUUCCCCUUCUAGCAAAGUUAUCAGUGGAGGGAAAUUUGCUUGUGGCGAGAUGUUAUUCUCUUUUUGGUGAGGAAGUUAUUUGGGCCCCUCCUUAUAGGAGGAACUUGUAUAAAGAAGAGUUGGAGGAGUAUUUGAGAUUAUCGGAAGUGUUGAGUAAGGUUUGCCCAGUGAUAUCUCAAAGGGACUCGAUGAGAUGGUGAAAAAAAGUCUAGAAGGUUUAAAGUCAAAUCUUUGUACCAAAGGAUUAGUAGUGUUUUAAAUGCUUCCAAGGUGAGUCACAGUUUAUUUAUGGCGAUAUGAUGCUCCCCCGAAGGUAGCCACUUUGGCUUGGUUAGUGGGAAGGAAUAGAGUGCUUACGGUCGACAAUUUGUGUGAGAGAAGAAUGGCCCUUCCAAAUGUGUCUAUUCUGUUAUCAAGAUGAGGAAUCGGUGGCUCAUCUCUUCUUUCAUUUCGACUUUGCCAAGAAGGUGUGGGAUACUUUUCUUGGUAAAUUUGGAGCUCAAUGGGUUAUGCCGGCUUCUAUUGUUUUCUUUUUGUCUUGGCAUAAAUGGGGCAAAGGAAAGGUAGGAAAGAAGAUAUGGCGUCUUUGUCUUUUGGCCGGGAUUUGGGUAAUAUGGCAGGAAGGAACAAUCGGUGAUUUAGGAAUCGUAUACGUCUUUCUUUGGAAGCCUGCAAGUCGGCGUUAAAACUGGUUUCGGAAUGGGUGAUUGAAUCCAAAAUGAUAGUGGCGGAUCAAUUUCCUGAUAGUUGGGUAGCUUUGUAGCUUUUGGUUUUCCUUUUUCUUUUCUUUUCUUUUUUCUUGUAUUCUUUAGGCUUUUGGCCUCUUUGAAAUAAAUUCAUCAUCGUUAAAAAAAAAAAAAAAA
Molecule: long non-coding RNA, 1845 nt
Organism: Magnolia sinica
Lineage: Eukaryota; Viridiplantae; Streptophyta; Magnoliopsida; Magnoliales; Magnoliaceae
Exons: 2
Source: RefSeq, a predicted model, not a curated record